This 366-nucleotide ribosomal RNA is filed under the name uncultured Geobacteraceae bacterium. RNAcentral describes it as "bacterial SSU rRNA". It matches the Rfam family "Bacterial small subunit ribosomal RNA", at positions 466 to 831 of the family's 1533-position model. Lineage: Bacteria; Pseudomonadati; Thermodesulfobacteriota; Desulfuromonadia; Geobacterales; Geobacteraceae. The record is from RNAcentral.
GGUUUGACGGUACCUAUAAAGGAAGCACCGGCUAACCCCGUGCCAGCAGCCGCGGUAAUACGGGGGGUGCAAGCGUUGUUCGGAAUUAUUGGGCGUAAAGCGCGUGUAGGCGGUCUGAUUAGUCUGAUGUGAAAGCCCUGGGCUCAACCCAGGAAGUGCAUUGGAUACUGUCAGACUUGAAUACGGGAGAGGGUAGUGGAAUUCCUAGUGUAGGAGUGAAAUCCGUAGAUAUUAGGAGGAACACCGGUGGCGAAGGCGGCUACCUGGACCGAUAUUGACGCUGAGACGCGAAAGCGUGGGUAGCAAACAGGAUUAGAUACCCUGGUAGUCCACGCCGUAAACGAUGAGAACUAGGUGUCGCGGGUA